GGGAGGCGGGCGGAGGUGGGGAAAUGGGUGCCCCCCAGUCCUUCCACCCUCCUCAUUCGUUCAGGGCAGCGGGAUUCCCGAAUCCUCCUUUCCCCCAACACGCAGGCACUCGCAGAGUCCCGCACCCACUUCUGUCCGGCAACCGCUGCUCCAGAGCAAGAGAACCUCCGAGCUGGACAAUCCAUCUCCCGGCUGCCAGGUGUGGCCAGAGGGGGAUGUGAGCCAAGUAAUGUCAUCAGAGCCUUAAGACGUUGGAAUCUUAGUUCCCCAACCAGGGACUGAACCCGGGCCACGG
Molecule: long non-coding RNA, 295 nt
Organism: Balaenoptera musculus (blue whale)
Lineage: Eukaryota; Metazoa; Chordata; Mammalia; Artiodactyla; Balaenopteridae
Exons: 3
Source: RefSeq, a predicted model, not a curated record